RNAcentral lists this ribosomal RNA (495 nucleotides) under uncultured bacterium. Its description in RNAcentral is "partial 16S ribosomal RNA". It matches the Rfam family "Bacterial small subunit ribosomal RNA", at positions 28 to 507 of the family's 1533-position model. The record is from RNAcentral.
GACGAACGCUGGCGGCGUGCCUAAUACAUGCAAGUAGAACGCUGAAGGAGGAGCUUGCUCUUCUGGAUGAGUUGCGAACGGGUGAGUAACGCGUAGGUAACCUGCCUGGUAGCGGGGGAUAACUAUUGGAAACGAUAGCUAAUACCGCAUAACAGUAGAUGUUGCAUGACAUUUGCUUAAAAGGUGCAAUUGCACCAUUACCAGAUGGACCUGCGUUGUAUUAGCUAGUUGGUGGGGUAACGGCUCACCAAGGCGACGAUACAUAGCCGACCUGAGAGGGUGAUCGGCCACACUGGGACUGAGACACGGCCCAGACUCCUACGGGAGGCAGCAGUAGGGAAUCUUCGGCAAUGGACGGAAGUCUGACCGAGCAACGCCGCGUGAGUGAAGAAGGUUUUCGGAUCGUAAAGCUCUGUUGUAAGAGAAGAACGAGUGUGAGAGUGGAAAGUUCACACUGUGACGGUAUCUUACCAGAAAGGGACGGCUAACUACGUG